This 30-nucleotide non-coding RNA is filed under the name Mus musculus (house mouse). Lineage: Eukaryota; Metazoa; Chordata; Mammalia; Rodentia; Muridae. The record is from RNAcentral.
UACAAAUAUCUGCAUGUAAGAUACUGAGAG